UUCUGGGACUGUGGGGCUUUCCAGCUACAUGAAUAGACAGCACUGGCUCCUCCUGGUAUAUUCAAGGGCUAGGAUUCAGGAGCAAACUGACCUGGCAGGACUUUAAGUCCAUCCUUAUCCUGCUAGCUCGGUGGUUUUGAUUGGGAAGCAUUAGUUCUUCCCUUGGCAGAAUUAGGGGCUGAGGUCCAAGUCUGGAGGUUGUGGUUGGUAUGAGAUGGUGAGCUUAAGGUGUGUUCAUGGUUGGGGAAGCCUUCAACCCUUCCUGGUACAGUUGGUGAAACUGGAGUCCAAGCCAUGCAAUUGACUGGAAUUGAUUGCCUUACGUGCUCAGCAGUGGCUAGUUUCUAUGGCUACAUAUUUAUGAACAAACCAUAGUGUGAAGAAUUAAUGGUUUGCUUGGAGAGAAAGGAAGUGAACACAUGAUGAUGAUAAAAGUAUGCUGAUGAGCACGGGCCCUGAGUUCCUCAGGUGAAAGCACUGCUUGUUCGCUCUUCCCCCAGAUCCCAGCCUUGCUGCCGAACCUCACAGGCAGGUCAUGGCCUCCUGGUUUGUGAGAAUUGAGCCUUGUGUCAGGAUUCUCUGUCUCCCUCUCUCUCUGUCCUUUCCC
Molecule: long non-coding RNA, 607 nt
Organism: Hyaena hyaena (striped hyena)
Lineage: Eukaryota; Metazoa; Chordata; Mammalia; Carnivora; Hyaenidae
Exons: 4
Source: RefSeq, a predicted model, not a curated record